This 437-nucleotide long non-coding RNA is filed under the name Harpegnathos saltator (Jerdon's jumping ant). RNAcentral describes it as "uncharacterized LOC112590269, transcript variant X2". Lineage: Eukaryota; Metazoa; Arthropoda; Insecta; Hymenoptera; Formicidae. The record is from RNAcentral.
CCAUUGAAUAAUAUUUUCUGAAUUAACAUUCGAAUGAAAAGAUAAAAUGUCAACUUCAGAAUUGCGUUCAGAGAAACGAUCUGUGAUUCCUUUCGCCAAACCUUUUGUUGCAAAUAUUUAAUUUUUUCUCUGGUACAGAUUUUUUGUACUUUCUAGCUGUUUUCGCAGACGUUUCUUUUCCGGAGAAUUAAAUAUCUUAUUUGGUGAAACGCUUGUCGAAUUAUCCACAACUACAACAGUUUUAAUAUCAUGUUUACUGUGUCCAGGAAUAGGAGAUGUACCUCUAUGUGUUGUCGUAAUCAUAUUACAUACAGAACUUGAUGCAAUAUUUGUAUUAUGUGAAAUAUCUGCAUUAGGAACUGCAUCAGGAACUAUAUUAAUUACAUCAGCAACCACAUGUACUAUAUACAUAAGUAAACAAAAGAUAUAUUUAUAAG